CCUACGGGAGGCAGCAGUGGGGAAUAUUGCACAAUGGGCGGAAGCCUGAUGCAGCAACGCCGCGUGCGGGAUGACGGCCUUCGGGUUGUAAACCGCUUUCGCCUGUGACGAAGCGUGAGUGACGGUAAUGGGUAAAGAAGCACCGGCUAACUACGUGCCAGCAGCCGCGGUGAUACGUAGGGUGCGAGCGUUGUCCGGAUUUAUUGGGCGUAAAGGGCUCGUAGGUGGUUGAUCGCGUCGGAAGUGUAAUCUUGGGGCUUAACCCUGAGCGUGCUUUCGAUACGGGUUGACUUGAGGAAGGUAGGGGAGAAUGGAAUUCCUGGUGGAGCGGUGGAAUGCGCAGAUAUCAGGAGGAACACCAGUGGCGAAGGCGGUUCUCUGGGCCUUUCCUGACGCUGAGGAGCGAAAGCGUGGGGAGCGAACAGGCUUAGAUACCCCGGUAGUC
Molecule: ribosomal RNA, 445 nt
Filed under: uncultured bacterium
Lineage: Bacteria
Description: bacterial SSU rRNA
Rfam family: Bacterial small subunit ribosomal RNA
Source: RNAcentral